AUACCAGGUAACUGGGGCCACCCCCUAGACAGACCCGAGCCUCUAGGGGGACACCAAACAACUGCCGCUAGCACACAGCAGCGCCUGCCUAUCUACGCCCGGCCCUCAACGAUCUUUGCCCUGGGUGUGCUGCGACCUGGGGAGCCGGGACGCUGCCCAAUGAAACAGGGACACACUUCACUCUGUAAAGGCCCCUUGGGACUUGGGAGGGUGCCCUGGGUGAGAUGUCGGGGGACACUAGUCACGCAGGGAGCCCAUGAGAAGGGGAUGUUCGAACACUCGGGGCGGG
Molecule: non-coding RNA, 289 nt
Organism: Pelobates cultripes (western spadefoot toad)
Lineage: Eukaryota; Metazoa; Chordata; Amphibia; Anura; Pelobatidae
Source: the annotation of a GenBank genome assembly